GGUUGAUCCUACCAGUAGUCACAUGCUUGUAUCAAAGACUAAGCCAUACAUGUGUAAGUAUGAAGUAAUUCAAAUUGUAAAACUGUGAUUAGCUCAUUAAAUUAGUUAUAGUUUGUUUGAUAGUAUCUAUUACUUAAAUAACUAUAGUAAUCUAGAACUAAUACAUGCAAUAAACCCUAACUUUUGGAAAGGAUGUAUUUAUUAGAUAAAAGGUCAAUGCGGGCUUUGCCCAUUGCUUUGAAGAUUCAUGAUAACUUGAUGGAUCAUACAACCAUUAUGCCGGUGACGCAUCAUUCAAAUUUCUGCCUUAUCAAUUUUUGAUGGUAAGAUAGUGGCCUACUAUGGUGGUGAUAGGUAGUGGAGAAUUAGGGUUUGAUUUCAAAGAAAGACCUUAAGAAAUGGCUACAACAUCUAAGAAAGGCAAUAGACGCACAAAUUAUCCAAUCCUGUAUAGAAAGGUAGUGAUAAUAAAUAACAAUACCAAGCUUUAUGAGUCUAGUAAUUGGAAUGAGUACAACCUAAAUCCCUUAAUGAGAAUCUAUUAGAGGGCAAGUAUGGUACUAGCAGCCAUGGUAAUUCUAGCUCCAAUAAUGUAUAUUUAAGUUAUUGUAGUUAAAAAGCUCAUAGUUAAAACUAGGGUUGGGUCAUCCAAUCUGCUUUAUGGUGAGCACUGGUCUACUCAUCCUUACUACCAGUGAUGCAUUCCUGGCUUUAACUAACCAAGUCAUUUCUUCGGCAUUAUUACUUUGAAGAAAUUAGAGUGCUCAAAGUAGGCUUACACUUGUAUACAUUAAAAUGGGAUAACAUCAUAGGAUUUUAGUCCUAUUUUGUUGGCUUUUAGGGUUGGAGUAAUGAUUAAUAGGGAUAGUCAAGGGCAUUUCUAUUUCAUAGUCAUAGGUGAAAUUCUUGGAUUUAUGAAAGAUGAAUAACUACAAAAGCAUUUGCCAAGGAUGUUUUCACUAAUCAAUAAUGAAAGUUAAAGGCUCGAAGAUGAUCAGAUUCCAUCCUAGACUCAACCAUAAACAAUGCCAACCAAGGAUCAAUGGAUGUUACCUUUAGGACUCCGCUGGCACCUUAUGAGAAAUCAAAGUUUUUAGGUUUCGAGGGGAGUAUGGUCACAAGGCUAAAACUUAAAGAAAUUGACGAAAAGGCAACACCAGAAGUGGAGCCUAUAGUUUAAUUUGACUCAACAUAAGAAAACUUACUAGGUCUAGACAUAGUAAGGAUUGAUAGACUAAGAGCUCAUUUUUGAUUUUAUGGGUGGUUGCGCAUGGCUGUUCUAAGUUGGUGGAGUGAUUUAUCUAGUUAAUUUCGUUAUUGAACAAGAUCUCAACCUGCUAACUAGCUAUGCAGAGGUGAUCGUUCAUGGCUAGCUUCUUAAAGGGACUAUAGCUAUUUAAGCCAAAGAAGUUUGAAGUAAUAACAAGCCUAUGAUACCCUUAAAUGUUCUGGGCUACACACGUGCUACACUGAUGUAUUCAACGAGUCUAUAGCCUUGGCUGAUAGGUCAGGAUAAUCUUUGAAAUUUCAUUAUGAUGGGGAUAGAUCAUUGUAAUUCUUGGUCUUCAAUAAGAAAUUCCCAGUAAGUGUGAGUCAUUAGCUAGCAUUGACUAUAUCCCUACCUUUUAUACACAUCAUCCAUCGCUUCUACCGAUUGAAUAAUCUGGUGAAGUGUUCGAAUAAUAAUGACAUAGAUGAUUUGUUGCCUACGACAUCAUGAGAAGUCCAUUAAAUCUUAUCAUUUAAAAGAAAGAGAAGUUGUAACAAGGUUUCGGUAGGUGAACUUGUGAAAG
Molecule: ribosomal RNA, 1793 nt
Filed under: Durio zibethinus
Lineage: Eukaryota; Viridiplantae; Streptophyta; Magnoliopsida; Malvales; Malvaceae
Description: SSU rRNA
Rfam family: Eukaryotic small subunit ribosomal RNA
Source: RNAcentral